ACUCAAAUGAAUUGACGGGGACCCGCACAAGCGGUGGAGCAUGUGGUUCAAUUCGAAACAAAGCGAAAAACCUUACCAGGGUUUGACAUCCUAGCUGCACUCCGGCAGAAACGUCGGAUUCUUCGAGAGUGCUAGGACAGGUGCUGCAUGGCUGUCGUCAGCUUGUACCGUGAGGCGCACCCUUAAGUGGGUCAACAAGCGCAACCCCCAUCGUGUGUUAAAUAUUCACACGAAACCGCCCGCUAAAAGCGUGGAGGAAGGCGGGGAUGACGUCAAGUCAGCACGGCCCUUAUGCCCUGGGCUACACACAUCCUACAAUGGGUGUUUUACAACGAGUCGCAAUACCGCAAGGUAAAGCAAAUCUUUCAAAAGCACCCCCAGUUCAGAUUGAAGGCUGCAAUUUGCCUUCAUGAAGUUGAAAUCGCUAGUAAUCGCGGAUCAGCAGGCCGCGGUGAAUACGUUCUCGGGUCUUGUACACACCGCCCGU
RNAcentral lists this ribosomal RNA (487 nucleotides) under uncultured bacterium. Its description in RNAcentral is "partial 16S ribosomal RNA". It matches the Rfam family "Bacterial small subunit ribosomal RNA", at positions 899 to 1397 of the family's 1533-position model. The record is from RNAcentral.